GAUGAACGCUGGCGGCGUGCCUAAUACAUGCAAGUCGAGCGAACGGACGAGAAGCUUGCUUCUCUGAUGUUAGCGGCGGACGGGUGAGUACCACGUGGAUAACCUACCUAUAAGACUGGGAUAACUUCGGGAAACCGUAGCUAAUACCGGAUAAUAUUUUGAACCGCAUGGUUCAAAAGUGAAAGACGGUCUUGCUGUCACUUAUAGAUGGAUCCGCGCUGCAUUAGCUAGUUGGUAAGGUAACGGCUUACCAAGGCAACGAUGCAUAGCCGACCUGAGAGGGUGAUCGGCCACACUGGAACUGAGACACGGUCCAGACUCCUACGGGAGGCAGCAGUAGGGAAUCUUCCGCAAUGGGCGAAAGCCUGACGGAGCAACGCCGCGUGAGUGAUGAAGGUCUUCGGAUCGUAAAACUCUGUUAUUAGGGAAGAACAUAUGUGUAAGUAACUGUGCACAUCUUGACGGUACCUAAUCAGAAAGCCACGGCUAACUACGUG
This 497-nucleotide ribosomal RNA is filed under the name uncultured bacterium. Its description in RNAcentral is "partial 16S ribosomal RNA". It matches the Rfam family "Bacterial small subunit ribosomal RNA", at positions 28 to 507 of the family's 1533-position model. The record is from RNAcentral.